GUGCCAGCAGCCGCGGUAAAACCAGCACCUCAAGUGGUCAGGAGGAUUAUUGGGCCUAAAGCAUCCGUAGCCUGCUCUGUAAGUUUCCGGUUAAAUCCAUUAGCUCAACUAAUGGCCUGCCGGAAAUACUGCAGAGCUAGGAAGUGGGAGAGGUAGACGGUACUCGGUAGGAAGGGGUAAAAUCCUUUGAUCUAUUGAUGACCACCUGUGGCGAAGGCGGUCUACCAGAACACGUUCGACGGUGAGGGAUGAAAGCUGGGGGAGCAAACCGGAUUAGGUACCCGGGUAGUCCCAGCUGUAAACGAUGCAGACUCGGUGAUGCGCUGGCUUGUGGCCAGUGCAGUGCCGCAGGGAAGCCGUUAAGUUUGCCGCCUGGGAAGUACGUACGCAAGUAUGAAACUUAAAGGAAUUGGCGGGGGAGCACCACAAGGGGUGAAGCCUGCGGUUCAAUUGGAGUCAACGCCAGAAAUCUUACCCGGAGAGACAGCAGAAUGAAGGUCAAGCUGAAGACUUUACCAGACAAGCUGAGAGGUGGUGCAUGGCCGUCGCCAGCUCGUGCCGUGAGAUGUCCUGUUAAGUCAGGUAACGAGCGAGAUCCCUGCCUCUAGUUGCCACCAUUACUCUCAGGAGUAGUGGGGCGAAUUAGCGGGACCGCCACAGUUAAUGUGGAGGAAGGAAGGGGCCACGGCAGGUCAGUAUGCCCCGAAACUCUGGGGCCACACGCGGGCUGCAAUGGUAGUGACAAUGAGUUCCGAAACCGAAAGGUGGAGGUAAUCUUCAAACGCUACCACAGUUAUGAUUGAGGGCUGCAACUCGCCCUCAUGAAUAUGGAAUCCCUAGUAACUGCGUGUCAUUAUCGCGCGGUGAAUACGUCCCUGCUCCUUGCACACACCGCCCGUC
This 900-nucleotide ribosomal RNA is filed under the name uncultured archaeon. RNAcentral's name for it is "bacterial SSU rRNA". It matches the Rfam family "Archaeal small subunit ribosomal RNA", at positions 455 to 1354 of the family's 1478-position model. The record is from RNAcentral.